AAGCAGCGAACGCAAACGAAACGAAGUAAAGUUUCGAAAAUAACCGCGUUCUUUGGGUUCUCCUCGUGCAGCCAAGUGUGGCAAGUUUAAAUACGAUUCGGUCGUCAGCUGAUUCGGAAGUGAUUCUUGACUUGGUCAGAACUUUCAGUUUCAUUCUCUUCGUGCCUUCCCUAGAGUUUUCUAAGCGUCAGUCUCUUGCUCUCCUAAUCUUCCGCCGCCGAUACGAUCCACAUCUACCCUACCGAUGGCCCCGUUAGUUCGUAGCACAAGUACGAUGUCGCUCGUUCCGGUGCAGUACCGCAGCUGGUGGGACGACUGGGAUUUGCCGCUCUACACCCGGGUUCUGGAGAAAUCCAUCACCCAGGAGGUGCUGGCCGAUGAUCCGUUCUACUGGCGUCAUCCACCAUUGCCACCGCUACGCUGGUCCAGCCUGUGGCGUCCGUGGAGAUAUUUCAGCCUUCGGGAUGUCGGAUCCCGGAUCGAUUCGGAUCGGGACAAGUACACCAUCGAGGUCGACGUGCAUCAGUUCGCUCCGCAUGAGGUCACCGUACGAAAAACGGACAAGUACGUGACCAUCGAGGGCAAGCAUGAGGAAAAACGGGACGAGUUGGGCUAUGUUACGAGACAAUUCUCCCGCCGAUACUUGGUUCCGAUUGGUUACGACGCAAGCCUGAUCGUCUCUUCACUCUCCUCGGACGGAGUGUUAACCGUUACUGCCCCCCGGAUUGGCAUGCCAGCGCCAAAGGUCGAGAAAUACGUUCCCAUCUGGCACACCGGAAAACCUGCCAUCGAGGAUAAGAAGUAAUCCCGAACACAGGGGAACCAGAGUCGUCGAAAUUAUCGAAAACCCGAAUCCUUGAAAAUCUAUAUGCCAUGACCGAUCGAUUAAGCCAAGUACACCACAAGCACCGGAAGCGAAAUUUGGCACCUGCAAAGUUUUGUGAUUGGAUUCUACUACCCGUAAAACUUUUCGACACCCGCUCGACACUCACCUUCAAACGCGACAAGCACAAGUUCAACGUGGUAGCAGCACGAUAAAAUGUUUUAGUUUCGAGGUAGGAUUGGUGUUAUCAUUUUGAAUACGAUACGAAUACACUUGGCGAUACACAAUUAGAUACACUAACGGUGCACAUACACACACACACACACACAUACUCCAAAGAUCUGUGGUGAGACGAAAAUAUGAAAUUAAAUUAUUACGUAAUAAGCGAACUAAGAACCAAAUCGGCAAAACCAAUGUGAUUCAAUAUUCGUUGCUUAGUAAUAUUCUGUUGAUAGCUUGUUUUGAAAAUUAGAUGAAAUAUACGACACGUUUUCCGAAAAAUA
Molecule: RNA transcript, 1326 nt
Organism: Malaya genurostris
Lineage: Eukaryota; Metazoa; Arthropoda; Insecta; Diptera; Culicidae
Gene name: protein lethal(2)essential for life-like
Exons: 4
Source: RefSeq, a predicted model, not a curated record